Molecule: long non-coding RNA, 232 nt
Filed under: Elaeis guineensis (African oil palm)
Lineage: Eukaryota; Viridiplantae; Streptophyta; Magnoliopsida; Arecales; Arecaceae
Description: long non-coding RNA (EGUI_LNC036288)
Source: RNAcentral
CUUCCUUUGUCUAUGGUUGGAAGGAGCACUUUCUUUUUUUAUCUUGUUCUUCCAUUAAAGAUUGGAGAUUUGUAUGCUCGGGCUAACCAAGGGAGUCUGCCCUCUGGAUUCCAGUGUUAAGGAAGAGGAUACUCAGUGCUUCAAGACUUUGCAUAAGUAUAAGAUUCCAUUGUUGAAGAAACUAUUAUCAUAGCAGACUCCUUUUAACGUCAGUCUUAUCCCAGCCAACCCC